Molecule: ribosomal RNA, 253 nt
Filed under: uncultured bacterium
Lineage: Bacteria
Description: partial 16S ribosomal RNA
Rfam family: Bacterial small subunit ribosomal RNA
Source: RNAcentral
UACGUAGGGUGCAAGCGUUAAUCGGAAUUACUGGGCGUAAAGCGUGCGCAGGCGGUUUUGUAAGUCUGACGUGAAAUCCCCGGGCUCAACCUGGGAAUUGCGUUGGAGACUGCAAGGCUGGAGUUUGGCAGAGGGGGGUAGAAUUCCACGCGUAGCAGUGAAAUGCGUAGAGAUGUGGAGGAAUACCGAUGGCGAAGGCAGCCCCCUGGGUCAAGACUGACGCUCAUGCACGAAAGCGUGGGGAGCAAACAGG